UACAGAGGUCCCAAGCGUUGUUCGGAUUCAUUGGGUUUAAAGGGAGCGUAGGCGGACUUAUAAGUCAGUGGUGAAAUCUCCGAGCUUAACUCGGAAACUGCCAUUGAUACUGUAAGUCUAGAGUACAGUUGCCGUUGGCGGAAUAUGACAUGUAGUGGUGAAAUACUUAGAUAUGUCAUAGAACACCGAUUGCGAAGGCAGCUAACGAAGCUGUAACUGACGCUGAGGCUCGAAAGUGCGGGGAUCAAACAGG
RNAcentral lists this ribosomal RNA (253 nucleotides) under uncultured bacterium. Its description in RNAcentral is "partial 16S ribosomal RNA". It matches the Rfam family "Bacterial small subunit ribosomal RNA", at positions 524 to 776 of the family's 1533-position model. The record is from RNAcentral.